This 468-nucleotide ribosomal RNA is filed under the name uncultured bacterium. Its description in RNAcentral is "partial 16S ribosomal RNA". It matches the Rfam family "Bacterial small subunit ribosomal RNA", at positions 28 to 507 of the family's 1533-position model. The record is from RNAcentral.
GACGAACGCUGGCGGCGUGCUUAACACAUGCAAGUCGAACGGAAAGGCCCUGCUUUUGUGGGGUGCUCGAGUGGCGAACGGGUGAGUAACACGUGAGUAACCUGCCCUUGACUUUGGGAUAACUUCAGGAAACUGGGUCUAAUACCGGAUAGGCGCUCCGGCUGCAUGGUGGGGGUUGGAAAGUUUCGGCGGUGGGGGAUGGACUCGCGGCUUAUCAGCUUGUUGGGGGGGUAGUGGCUUACCAAGGCUUUGACGGGUAGCCGGCCUGAGAGGGUGACCGGCCAUAUUGGGACUGAGAUGCGGCCCAGACUCCUACGGGAGGCAGUAGUGGGGAAUAUUGCACAAUGGGCGGAAGCCUGCUGCAGCAACGCCGCGUGCGGGAUGACGGCCUUCGGGUUGUAAACCGCUUUCGCCUGUGACGAAGCGUGAGUGACGGUAAUGGGUAAAGAAGCACCGGCUAACUACGUG